RNAcentral lists this unclassified non-coding RNA (261 nucleotides) under Hevea brasiliensis (rubber tree). Lineage: Eukaryota; Viridiplantae; Streptophyta; Magnoliopsida; Malpighiales; Euphorbiaceae. The record is from RNAcentral.
GUCAAAAAUUAUCCUGUCAUGCCUGGAGGCAUUUCGCGCAACUAUCCAAGCACUGGUUCCUCGGCUCUGCUUCCUCUUAUACUCCACGGCAACUUCAGCAUAAUCCCAAAUGCUGAAGUCUUUAUUUGCGGUGGGACAUUGCCAGAUUCAAACCAGAAGGCGGAUGCAGGAGAAUUCAUUGCUGCAUCAAAAUCCUGCGGUCGGUUAGUAAUCAACACCGCAAAUCCUAGCUGGGAAAUGGAGGAAAUGCCUAUGAACAGA